ACGACCUUACUUGAACAGGAUCUGUUCUAUAGGUUGUACAUCUGUGUCCUUGAGUUCUAAGGAGACAAGAACCGAAGUCUGGUGGAUGAUCUACUGCCUUGAGGCUAGAGCGUGAUUAACGGUUCAACAGGCCUUGGUCUAGCGGCUGUAGAGGAUCGUUCUUGGCAGGCUACCACCUGCCGAGAUGGCCCCAAGGCGGUCUGACAGACU
Molecule: small nucleolar RNA, 210 nt
Filed under: Cucumis melo (muskmelon)
Lineage: Eukaryota; Viridiplantae; Streptophyta; Magnoliopsida; Cucurbitales; Cucurbitaceae
Also listed under: 1 other name
Description: Plant small nucleolar RNA U3
Rfam family: Plant small nucleolar RNA U3
About the family: Small nucleolar RNAs (snoRNAs) are involved in the processing and modification of rRNA in the nucleolus. There are two main classes of snoRNAs: the box C/D class, and the box H/ACA class. U3 snoRNA is a member of the box C/D class.
Source: Rfam by way of RNAcentral